Molecule: ribosomal RNA, 379 nt
Filed under: Meloidogyne sp. JQ-2022
Lineage: Eukaryota; Metazoa; Nematoda; Chromadorea; Rhabditida; Meloidogynidae
Description: partial small subunit ribosomal RNA
Source: RNAcentral
AGAGAAAUAAUAGGAUUAAAAAAUUUUUUGAAAAAUUUAAAGUUUAUUAUUAUAAUAAGCUUUGUUUUUUGAAGAAUAAAGUUUAGUGUUAUUUAUUUUUUAAAACUUUUAAAGUUUAUAAAAUUAAACUUAUAACAAUAAACUUCUAACAAUCCUUUAUUGACUCUCGCUGCAAAAUUAAUUUGGCUUCUGGCAAUUGUCAGGAAUUUAGCCGAUUAUAACUUUUGUGAAUUUAUAAUUAUAAUUAAUUAUUACAUUCUUUUGCAAAGGAUAUUUAGUAUGUUAUCAGCUGUCAUUAAUUUUUAAUUUUCGACUUUUAUUUCGGGAUUUUGAAUUCUAAAAUUAUCAAUGUAAUCAUUAUUAAUGACAGCUUAAUUAC